UAGGCUGCAACUCGCCUACAUGAAGUCGGAAUUGCUAGUAAUCGCGGAUCAGCAUGCCGCGGUGAAUACGUUCCCGGGCCUUGUACACACCGCCCGUCACACCAUGGGAGUCGGUAAUACCCGAAGUCAGUAGUCCAACCUCGUGAGGACGCUGCCGAAGGUAGGAUUGGCGACUGGGGUGAAGUCGUAACAAGGUAUC
RNAcentral lists this ribosomal RNA (199 nucleotides) under uncultured bacterium. RNAcentral's name for it is "partial 16S ribosomal RNA". It matches the Rfam family "Bacterial small subunit ribosomal RNA", at positions 1301 to 1500 of the family's 1533-position model. The record is from RNAcentral.